RNAcentral lists this ribosomal RNA (610 nucleotides) under uncultured Actinomycetes bacterium. RNAcentral describes it as "SSU rRNA". It matches the Rfam family "Bacterial small subunit ribosomal RNA", at positions 242 to 843 of the family's 1533-position model. Lineage: Bacteria; Bacillati; Actinomycetota; Actinomycetes. The record is from RNAcentral.
CAGCUUGUUGGCGGGGUAAUGGCCCACCAAGGCUACGAUGGGUAGCUGGUCUGAGAGGAUGAUCAGCCACACUGGGACUGAGACACGGCCCAGACUCCUACGGGAGGCAGCAGUGGGGAAUCUUGCGCAAUGGGCGAAAGCCUGACGCAGCAACGCCGCGUGCGGGAGGAAGGCCUUCGGGUUGUAAACCGCUUUCAGGGGAGACGAAGCUUCCAGGGUGAAUAGCCCUGUGGAGUGACGGUAUCUUCAGAAGAAGUCCCGGCUAACUACGUGCCAGCAGCCGCGGUGAUACGUAGGGGACAAGCGUUGUCCGGAAUUAUUGGGCGUAAAGCGCGUGUAGGCGGCCAAGUAAGUCUUACGUGAAAUCCUGAGGCUCAACCUCAGGCCUGCGCGGGAUACUGCUUGGCUAGAGUCCGGAAGAGGAGAGUGGAAUUCCUGGUGUAGCGGUGGAAUGCGCAGAUAUCAGGAGGAACAUCCGUGGCGAAGGCGGCUCUCUGGGACGGUACUGACGCUGAGACGCGAAAGCGUGGGGAGCGAACAGGAUUAGAUACCCUGGUAGUCCACGCCGUAAACGAUGGGUGCUAGGUGUGGGAGGUGUCGAUUCCUUCCG